GUGCUUGUUUUGACAGCAUAUAUACUAAGGAAUAACCCAGAGAGGGUUAGCAUGGGCCCCCUGCAAGGUUGACAUGCAAACUUGUAAAGCAUUAAAAACAAAG
RNAcentral lists this small nuclear RNA (103 nucleotides) under Heterocephalus glaber (naked mole-rat). Lineage: Eukaryota; Metazoa; Chordata; Mammalia; Rodentia; Bathyergidae. The record is from RNAcentral.